GGGGCAGUCGCUCAAUGGUAGAGCUCCCGCUUCAUACAGGGGGAGACCUGGGGUCGAUUCCCGGCUGCUUUC
RNAcentral lists this transfer RNA (72 nucleotides) under Toxocara canis (dog roundworm). It matches the Rfam family "tRNA". Rfam says of the family: Transfer RNA (tRNA) molecules are approximately 80 nucleotides in length. Their secondary structure includes four short double-helical elements and three loops (D, anti-codon, and T loops). Further hydrogen bonds mediate the characteristic L-shaped molecular structure. tRNAs have two regions of fundamental functional importance: the anti-codon, which is responsible for specific mRNA codon recognition, and the 3' end, to which the tRNAs corresponding amino acid is attached (by aminoacyl-tRNA synthetases). tRNAs cope with the degeneracy of the genetic code in two manners: having more than one tRNA (with a specific anti-codon) for a particular amino acid; and 'wobble' base-pairing, i.e. permitting non-standard base-pairing at the 3rd anti-codon position. The record is from Rfam by way of RNAcentral. Lineage: Eukaryota; Metazoa; Nematoda; Chromadorea; Rhabditida; Toxocaridae.